Molecule: long non-coding RNA, 222 nt
Filed under: Elaeis guineensis (African oil palm)
Lineage: Eukaryota; Viridiplantae; Streptophyta; Magnoliopsida; Arecales; Arecaceae
Description: long non-coding RNA (EGUI_LNC049810)
Source: RNAcentral
CAUCCUAGUGAUGAUCCUAUGGUCAGGAGCUGUUUAUGUAUUAGUUAUGUAAAUUCAUGCCUUAAAUUUUUAACUCUUGAAAAUAUGAAUUGAUAUUCUUACUAACUCAAAGGAUGUAUCACAGACACAAUGUACACAAUGUGAUAGAAGAAUAACCCAUUUAUUGAUUUAUAGUUAAAAUUAUAAAUUUACCUUUAGAUUUGUAUAGGAAUGUGUCAGCCA